ACCUAGACCGCAUAUAAGCACAAAUUACAGGGCAUGGAUAGUCACUGCAGCCCAUGUUGUACGAUUGUGGAUUGUUCACAGAUGCCAACAGUCCUCUCAUCCAGUUCAGUCUGUUGUACAAAUUUUACAGAGUACAGGCCAUAAUUAUUCACACAAUGCAAACUUCAUCCAAAAGUUUGCUUUCUUCUCUCAAAAUAUGCUGACAAAAGACCACCAAUCCACUCUAUGCCCUGAUCAGUGGCUAAAGGAUCAUCCUUGUGAUAUUUGGCUUCAUAGUUUUCAAUGGAUUAAAAGCUUGUUUAGAUGCACAUCAUUGUUUGAGGAUAACUCUGCCUGGAGUAGGAGUCUGAUGGUCAUGACCUACCCUAUCCUAGAAGGGUGACUCACCAUUUGCAAUGGAUAUUUUGAUAUCCAUUAAAUCUCUUGAUUGCAAAACUUUUUUUUGGAGAACAUACACACAAACAGGCACGCGUAGCAAGGCCCCUCAUGCACGUUUCAUUGAAUCAGGUAACUUGAGAGCUGCCAAGAUGGGGAUUUUAGGCAAUAUGAAGCGGGAUCAAAAUGUUUCACAGGAUUGUACCGAAGUGGUGGCGGCAGGGGAUAUGCUGGCAGCCGGAGUGGUGUGGGCCGUG
Molecule: long non-coding RNA, 632 nt
Filed under: Elaeis guineensis (African oil palm)
Lineage: Eukaryota; Viridiplantae; Streptophyta; Magnoliopsida; Arecales; Arecaceae
Description: long non-coding RNA (EGUI_LNC020923)
Source: RNAcentral